This 429-nucleotide ribosomal RNA is filed under the name Bacteroidota bacterium. RNAcentral's name for it is "Bacteroidetes bacterium partial 16S ribosomal RNA". It matches the Rfam family "Bacterial small subunit ribosomal RNA", at positions 355 to 776 of the family's 1533-position model. The record is from RNAcentral. Lineage: Bacteria; Pseudomonadati; Bacteroidota.
UAGGGAAUCUUCCGCAAUGGACGCAAGUCUGACGGAGCAACGCCGCGUGAGUGAAGAAGGAUUUCGGUUCGUAAAACUCUGUUGUUAGAGAAGAACAGCGCAUAGAGUAACUGUUAUGCGUGUAACGGUAUCUAACCAGAAAGCCACGGCUAACUACGUGCCAGCAGCCGCGGUAAUACGUAGGUGGCAAGCGUUGUCCGGAUUUAUUGGGCGUAAAGCGAGCGCAGGCGGUCAAUUAAGUCUGAUGUGAAAGCCCCCGGCUCAACCGGGGAGGGUCAUUGGAAACUGGUUGACUUGAGUGCAGAAGAGGAGAGUGGAAUUCCAUGUGUAGCGGUGAAAUGCGUAGAUAUAUGGAGGAACACCAGUGGCGAAGGCGACUCUCUGGUCUGUAACUGACGCUGAGGCUCGAAAGCGUGGGUAGCAAACAGG